GAUGGUAUGGCGUACCCAUUGGAUGGUUCGUUGCACCAACACUUUAGAUCGAUGAAGCCUAGUCAUUAUAAGGUCCAAGUUGAUUGUAUUCACGACGGACAUGAUGAUGACACUCUUCCGGUACCUACUGGAGAUGGAUUCAAUAACUUAGGCAGGGCUCUUGCUAGUUUUGUGCAAUGGCCAAUUCACUUGGUGAUUUUCGAAGAAGACGAGGAGUACUCUACUCCACGCCCAACAAAGAAGUCCAGGAGUCAGAUUUUUGAAGAGGUGGUUGGUAGCUCCAAAGAGAAGAAAAACGAAUUAAUUGUCAAAGAGAAGACAACAGAAUUAGUUGUCAAAGAUAAGACAACAGAAUUAAUUGUCAAAGAGAAGGAAACACUUGAUUUAGGGUCCAAAGAGAAGACAACACUGAAGUUAACGGCCAAGGAAAAUUCAUGCUCAAAUAAGUUGGAGUCGAAAUCGAAGUCGAAGAACUCUAAGAAAUCCAAAGAGAUGGUAGGUAGUUGUGAUCGUAAAACUGAAGAAUCAGCCGCCAAAAGUAAGAAGCAAAAUUUGGCAGACGACACAAUUCAAGGUCUUGGCCCAUCAUGAAAUUAUUUGAAGUUUAUCAUCAAUACGGCGCCCGGUGAUGUAUAUAAAAAUACUUCAAUCCCAUUGCCCGCUUCGGUUUGGCAUUAUGACGAAGAUCGACAAACUUAUGUAAAUGAGGUUGACGUUGAAGAGUUCCUUAGAGGGGCGUGCCUCAACAUUUCAGUGAUCCAAGUCUAUAUGAUGUGUUUAUUCCACGAACACACCUUUGCAUUUGACAACUCUCAGAUUGGGUUUGUUUGUCCCGAGGCAAUGUCAAGCUCUAGAAUCAAGGCCAACCCUCAGGCUGCAUCAAUGUAUUUGAAAGUAGUUUUCAAUGCUGAAAUUGAAAAGGAGAAGAAGGGUGAUCCUAACAUUACCAAGUGGUUUUUGAUCCCAUACCAUCAAGAAAAUCAUUGGAUUUUGUACGUGUUAGACCUACGUAGAGGUUGUGCGUAUAUUUUCGACUCUGCGAUAGGUUCCAACCGAGAAAAUAGUGCAUGAGGAA
RNA transcript from Spinacia oleracea (spinach), 1075 nucleotides. RefSeq lists it as uncharacterized. The transcript is spliced from 5 exons. NCBI's taxonomy places the organism in Eukaryota, Viridiplantae, Streptophyta, Magnoliopsida, Caryophyllales, Amaranthaceae. The record is from RefSeq and is a predicted model, not a curated record.